AAAAUAAUAGGAGGCGGCCCCCAAAAAGGAAGCGGGCGGGGACGCUAAACAUGUAUAUUCUUUUUACAUGGCCUAAACGACAAGGUAUCAGAUAUCCAUUGUUUUGACAUUCCUUUUCCCUUAAACACGCAAAAUCAUGCAUUUCGUGAGAAAUUAUAUGCGCGAGAAAUAUACUGGGCGAAUUGUCUGUAGGGCGAAUUUAAUCUGACCAAGAUUUUGGCCGAUUCGAAUUGCAUGCACAUUCUCAUGAUCAUGGUCAUAUGAGUUCUGAGUACUGCUGUUUUAUAGUUGUGCUGUUGUGCUGAUUGCUAGCUUAGUUUUGGUUACUGAGAGUUGAAGAGAGAGUUGCAGAAAAUUUGAUAGAUCUACUCUUACUGUUGGACAGUUACUGAGAGAGAAGCAAGGAGGCAGAGGUAAAUUCAGCUCUUACUGUUGGACAGUUAGUGAGAGGGAAGCAGGGAGGAAGAGGUGAAUAGAGCUCUUAUUGUUGAACAUUUACUGAGAGAGAAGCAAGGAGGCAGAGGUGAAUAGAGCUCUUACUCUUGGACAGUUAUUUAGAGAGAAGCAAGGAGGCAGAGGUAAAUAGAGUUGUUACUGUUGGACAGUUAUUGAGAGACGAGCAAGGAGGAAGAGGUGAAUAGAGCUCUUACUGUUGGACAGUUACUGACACAGAAGCAAGGAGGCAGAGGUGAAUAGAACUCUUACUGUUGGACAGUUAAUGAGAGAGAAGCAAGGAGGCAGAGGUAAAUAGAGUUGUUACUGUUGGACAGUUAUUGAGAGACAAGCAAGGAGGAAGAGGUGAAUAGAGCUGUUACUGUUGGACAGUUACUGAGACAGAAGCAAGGAGGCAGAGGUGAAUAGAGCUCUUACUGUUGGACAGUUACUGACACAGAAGCAAGGAGGCAGAGGUGAAUAGAACUCUUACUGUUGGACAGUUAAUGAGAGAGAAGCAAGGAGGCAGAGGUAAAUAGAACUCUUAUUGUUGGACAGUUACUGACACAGAAGCAAGGAGGCAGAGGUGAAUAGAACUCUUACUGUUGGACAGUUAAUGAGAGAGAAGGAAGGAGGCAGAGGUGCCAUCUGCCAUUUGGACUUUGACUGAAUAAAGUUUUUGGAGUGUACUGGUUGAAGCAGAUUUCAUUAUCAUCUCCAUCUCAUCUCAUACCAUCUCAUCUCAUACCAUUUCAUCUUCACCCACAAAACUCAUAAUCUUGAGUUUUUGAGAAAAGCACUCAUUCAAACCUUCAUCUAUCAUAAAGUCUGUGUGCGGGCAACUCACGACAAUAACCCUAGCACUCUUAAGCUUUGAUACGAACUUCUUGGUGAUCAUGAUGAACACUGUUACUUGGAUUUGAACCAAUCAAGGACCCUAUCAAGUACGACCAACAAAAGAAAAUGUGGCAGAUCAAAGAAGAGGUAUG
This is a long non-coding RNA of Strongylocentrotus purpuratus (purple sea urchin), 1421 nucleotides long. RefSeq lists it as uncharacterized. The record is from RefSeq and is a predicted model, not a curated record. The transcript is spliced from 6 exons. Lineage: Eukaryota; Metazoa; Echinodermata; Echinoidea; Camarodonta; Strongylocentrotidae.